RNAcentral lists this transfer RNA (72 nucleotides) under Candidatus Pacearchaeota archaeon. RNAcentral's name for it is "tRNA-Arg". It matches the Rfam family "tRNA". Rfam says of the family: Transfer RNA (tRNA) molecules are approximately 80 nucleotides in length. Their secondary structure includes four short double-helical elements and three loops (D, anti-codon, and T loops). The record is from RNAcentral. Lineage: Archaea; Nanobdellati.
GGGCCCAUAAGUUAAUGGAUAGACUUCCUGGCUUCGGACCGGGCAAUCGGGGUUCGAUUCCUCGUGGGCCCG